CCUGUGAUCUUCCUGCAUUCAGCGUCAUUGCAUGUGUUUCGACCACCUACUCCCACCUGCCGACCACCUGUGGAGGGCUACCUGAGGAGUCCUGAUUUGUGGCAGAAGAUAAAUUGUGGUGAAAAUAUAAUCCUUGGAUCACACAGGCUGAUAUGCUUCUUCUGCGUAGGCUUCGCUGUCACUCAAUCUCUUACAAGAUAAGAAAGGAGCUGAUUCAGAGAGCAGAGAUGGGGAAAGAAGGUAGAUGCCAAGUCACCUGGGGAUCUCUGAGGAACCAGGAAGCAGACGCUGAGGAGACGAGGACUUUCCUCUAGAGCCCACAGGGAGAGGAAGCCUUCCCCUGGAGCCAGCGCUCUGAGUUCAGACUCCCGGUGUUUUCACCCUGAGUGAACACAUUUCUGAUUAAAGCCAUCCACUCGUGUUA
Long non-coding RNA from Echinops telfairi (small Madagascar hedgehog), 424 nucleotides. RefSeq lists it as uncharacterized. NCBI's taxonomy places the organism in Eukaryota, Metazoa, Chordata, Mammalia, Afrosoricida, Tenrecidae. The record is from RefSeq and is a predicted model, not a curated record. The transcript is spliced from 3 exons.